RNAcentral lists this ribosomal RNA (1141 nucleotides) under endocytic bacterium Noc5. Its description in RNAcentral is "bacterial SSU rRNA". It matches the Rfam family "Bacterial small subunit ribosomal RNA", at positions 47 to 1182 of the family's 1533-position model. Lineage: Bacteria; Pseudomonadati; Pseudomonadota; Gammaproteobacteria; Moraxellales; Moraxellaceae. The record is from RNAcentral.
CUUAACACAUGCAAGUCGAGCGGUAACAGGAGAAGCUUGCUUCUCGCUGACGAGCGGCGGACGGGUGAGUAAUACUUAGGAAUCUACCUAGUAGUGGGGGAUAGCUCGGGGAAACUCGAAUUAAUACCGCAUACGACCUACGGGAGAAAGGGGGCAACUUGUUGCUCUCGCUAUUAGAUGAGCCUAAGUCGGAUUAGCUAGAUGGUGGGGUAAAGGCCUACCAUGGCGACGAUCUGUAGCUGGUCUGAGAGGAUGAUCAGCCACACCGGGACUGAGACACGGCCCGGACUCCUACGGGAGGCAGCAGUGGGGAAUAUUGGACAAUGGGGGCAACCCUGAUCCAGCCAUGCCGCGUGUGUGAAGAAGGCCUUUUGGUUGUAAAGCACUUUAAGCAGUGAAGAAGACUCCAUGGUUAAUACCCAUGGACGAUGACAUUAGCUGCAGAAUAAGCACCGGCUAACUCUGUGCCAGCAGCCGCGGUAAUACAGAGGGUGCAAGCGUUAAUCGGAAUUACUGGGCGUAAAGCGAGCGUAGGUGGCUUGAUAAGUCAGAUGUGAAAGCCCCGGGCUUAACCUGGGAACGGCAUCUGAUACUGUUAGGCUAGAGUAGGUGAGAGGAAGGUAGAAUUCCAGGUGUAGCGGUGAAAUGCGUAGAGAUCUGGAGGAAUACCGAUGGCGAAGGCAGCCUUCUGGCAUCAUACUGACACUGAGGUUCGAAAGCGUGGGUAGCAAACAGGAUUAGAUACCCUGGUAGUCCACGCCGUAAACGAUGUCUACUAGUCGUUGGGUCCUUGAGGACUUAGUGACGYAGCUAACGSAAUAAGUAGACCGCUGGGGAGUACGGMCGCAAGGUUAAAACUCAAAUGAAUUAACGGGGGCCCGCACAAGCGSUGGAGCAUGUGSUUUAAUUCGAUGCAACGCGAAGAACCUUACCURGUCUUGACAUAUCUAGAAUCCURCAGAGAUGCGGGAGUACCUWCGGRAAUWAGAAUACAGGUGCUGCAUGGCUGUCGWCAGCUCGUGUCGUGAGAURUUGGGUUAAGUCCCGCAACGAGCGCAACCCUURUCCUUAGUUACCAGCGGUUUGGCCGGGAACUCUAAGGAUACURCCAGUCGAMAAAMMURGAGGAAGGCGGGGACGA